CUAAGCAUUAAAAAAAUAGUGACUGGGCUGUCAUUGCUGCCCAGUCACUAUAAAAGGCCACAUCCAAUGGUGAUGGGGUCUGGGAAAUUUCAUUUAUGGGCAUCAGGUUGUGUAUUUGCUACCUUAAAUAUUAUUAUCCUCUUCUAAUAUUUAUAAUAAAGGGUGUAUAAUAAAGGAGUGACCUAUUGUCCCUUCCCUGGUCCUGACCCAUUAUGG
Non-coding RNA from Pelobates cultripes (western spadefoot toad), 216 nucleotides. The record is from the annotation of a GenBank genome assembly. NCBI's taxonomy places the organism in Eukaryota, Metazoa, Chordata, Amphibia, Anura, Pelobatidae.